Molecule: ribosomal RNA, 409 nt
Filed under: Salmonella enterica subsp. enterica serovar Moscow str. SA20061414
Lineage: Bacteria; Pseudomonadati; Pseudomonadota; Gammaproteobacteria; Enterobacterales; Enterobacteriaceae
Description: bacterial SSU rRNA
Rfam family: Bacterial small subunit ribosomal RNA
Source: RNAcentral
UCAAAGGAGACUGCCAGUGAUAAACUGGAGGAAGGUGGGGAGUGACGUCAAGUCAUCACUGGCCCUUACGACCAGGGCUACACACGUGCUACAAUGGCGCAUACAAAGAGAAGCGACCUCGCGAGAGCAAGCGGACCUCAUAAAGUGCGUCGUAGUCCGGAUUGGAGUCUGCAACUCGACUCCAUGAAGUCGGAAUCGCUAGUAAUCGUGGAUCAGAAUGCCACGGUGAAUACGUUCCCGGGCCUUGUACACACCGCCCGUCACACCAUGGGAGUGGGUUGCAAAAGAAGUAGGUAGCUUAACCUUCGGGAGGGCGCUUACCACUUUGUGAUUCAUGACUGGGGUGAAGUCGUAACAAGGUAACCGUAGGGGAACCUGCGGUUGGAUCACCUCCUUACCUGAAAGAAGC